Molecule: long non-coding RNA, 4518 nt
Filed under: Canis lupus familiaris (dog)
Lineage: Eukaryota; Metazoa; Chordata; Mammalia; Carnivora; Canidae
Description: lncRNA (ENSCAFG00030001194.1)
Source: RNAcentral
AGCGCACGGGCGCCUCAGCGGGCGGACCUCGGGGGCGGCGCCGCGGGCAGCGAGCGGGCGCCGGGAAGCCGCAUCCAGCUCGCGGGGUGCUCUGCGCUCGCCCGCGCGGCCCCCACAGCCUGCGCCCCGAGAAGCCGCCCCGGAGUGCGCGCUGCCCGUUAUGUGCACGACUUUAGGGAGCUGCCCUCCGCGUGACGUGCGCCAACUUUCCGCCAAUGGCGCGCGGGCAGCCCCGAGGGCCCGAGCGCCCCGCCCCGCCCGCCCCGCCCGCCCGCCCGGCCCGGCCCGGCCCGGCCCGGCCCGGCCCUCGGCUCUCCCGCCCGCUCGCGGGGCCGGCCCGGGCGGGGCCCCGCCGCUGCCCGGCCGCCCCCGAGGCCCGCGGCUGGGGCUGGCGAGCUCCCCCGCCGCGCCCGGGGCUUGGCGCUCCCUGGGGGCCGCUACCUGUGCGGCCCCCAGCACUCGGAAGAAGCAGCGACAGGCAGGGACAGGCACACGCGCACCCCGACAGACAGGCUCAGACUUCUGCGGAGACGCGCCCGUCCAGCGCACCCCCCAAGCACACUCGUGCGCGCGCACACAGAAGCCCACGCGCACAAAGUCACCCCUGCCCAGCGGAGGCCGGGCCAGAAAGCCAACACAGGAGCGCCCAGAGCACAGAACCAGGUAAACAGGACGCUGAGCGCUCACGUGGAGGCAGGCAGAGAGCCACAGACUCGGACGACCCCCUCCAGCUGGUAGGAAUUUCAAGAUGAUGUCUUCACACCAAGAGUCUUCUCCUGACCUCCUUUUAGAAUUGGGCAGCCCGGUGACUUAGCGGUUUAGCGCCACCUUCAGCCCGGGGCCUGAUCUUGGAGACCUGGGAUCGAGUCCUGUGUCAGGCUCCCUACAUGGAGCCUGCUUCUCCCUCUGCCUGUGUCUCUGCCUCACUCUCCUUCUGUGUCUUGAGUAAAAUCUUAAAAAAAAGGAAUUGGAGUAGAGAGAGUUAGUUAGAAUGGGAAAGAGGUCAAUAGAUCAUUUAAUUCAUUUCCCUCCAUGGUGCAAUGAAGAAACUAAAGUGCAGAAGUAAGAAGCGUGUAGUCGAAAGUGGCAGGCAAGAUAAAAAGAUCCAGGCCUGCUCCCUGCCUUACAUAUGUCCAAUGCAGUCCCUUCAUUUCCCAGCAGAGGACUUUGAUUGGCCCUGCUUGCUGGGCUCGUGGCAUUAGAGACUUAAUGCUUCAGCUGAACUUGGAAGUUCUUAGUAGUCUAAAUGCACCUUGAUCUGAUGUAAGAAAAAGCAGGCUCUUUUAUGGUGAUUGAUAGUGUCUAAUUACAUAUUUUGUUCAAUCCCUUAAGACACUAAUUUGUCGUUUCCUGCCUGCCAAACAGAAACAAAACAAAACACAUUUUGAUUUACUGAACAAAUGUUUGAAUAGGAGUAAGGUUCUUUGGUGCCAGGGAAUGUCCUCACACCAUUAGCUGGACAGCUUAGGAAAAUCUUAUCCUGUUCUUGGCUUAGAUGAGAUUCCUUCCAUCUCUAUGACCUGAGCAGAUAAACAUCUGUAGAUUUCUUUCUAAAUAAUGGUCUUAAAUGUCUUGUCUUUAAUAUUCUCUCUGUAUACCUUCACCCCAUUAAGUUUACAUUAAAUGAGAUUAAAUGUAAUGUUCAGUGUGCUCCCUUGCAGAAGAGAUAACUCUUACUGUUUCCUUAUUUUUGAAUCAAAAUGUACCCGUAGAAUGCACAUUUAUCUUAUCGGGCGCUAUGUGUGAAAGGCCCCUUUGAAUGUGAAUAAUGAGUAAUUUGCUUGUAAUUUGAAUUUUGGUGAAAAAGAAUGAAAACAGGAACAAAACUUGGUGCCUUAGAAAGAAAAAUGACUAUGGGGACACCUGAGUGGCUCAGUGGUUGAGCGUCUGCCUUUGUUUGAGGUAUGAUCCCAGGUCCCGGGAUUGAAUCCCGCAUUGGGCUCCCCACAGGGAGUCUGCUUCCCCUCUUCCUGUGUCUCUGACUCUCUAUCUGUCUGUGUUCUCAUGGAUAAAUAAAUAAAAUCUUAAAAAAAAAAAAGAAAGAAAAAUGACUGAAAAUUACUGUCACCAUCGAGUUAUGUAGCUGGGUAGAAUGUUUUUGGUUUUUGAGUGAAAUAUCUCACAGUCUGGUCAGCCCCUUACACAAGGCAUCCACCAAAACUCUCAGCUCUAGCAAGGGCAAGCUCCCCACAUCCUCUUGCCACUGUAUAUUUCUGACUAUGCAGAGUGAACUGCAGUACAUCUUGCAGCUCCGGCUCAGGGAUUUUAAGUCUGCCCCCUUGAGGCCACUCAAAACAAGUUUCCUUUUUCUUCCCCAAGACCGUCCUCAAGGUUUUGGGAGAAUCCCUUGGCGGUCUCCGGAGCCUUCCUUUCAGCUUAAAUAGCCCUUGUUCCUUUGGGUCUAGAGUCUCCUUUACCAUCAGGGCAGACCUAUUCAUGCUGUCAAUGUCUAAACUUAACAUCAAUACCUGGAAUGAUCAUAGAACAAGUCCUCAAAUAAUCAAUUUGCAGUCACCUUGGCAACCAAAAAGUAAGCAGAGCAACCAGCAAAGCUUUCAGAACGGCUGAUUAUACCGGAUGAAUUUAAUUUCCUGCUGUGCUAGCGUUUUAUGAGAGACAUGCUAAUAAAUUCUCCACGUCUCAGGGGGACCGAAUGAGGGGAGAUGGCUUAAAUUAAAGCCGGAGAGACUUCAGUUGAUCCUCUGAAGGGCUACUUGGCCUGAAGACUUCCAAAGAAGCUAAUCUCUACCAGCUCUUCUCAGUUGGGACUUCAUAAGAGAAUUAACCCUGCAAAAACUGAGUGACGCUUCUUACUAAUUUUCCCAAGAACAGUAGCUAGCUAUUACCCACCUAGAGCUCUAAGAGAGAGGUUAAGUUGUUACAUGCAAUGUAAGGGAUGCCUUAGGGCAUAGGGCUUAAUUCAUAGGGCUGAAUCUGAAUGGCAUUGCUUGGAGUUUCCUACAGAUAGGGAAUGAAUGGUGUGUGAUGAUUAAUACUUCUGUGUGAUGGAAGCAGGUUGGGGCAGAGGAGGUAACAUGGAUGGGGGAUCAGGAGACCCAGGCUCUGGGCUCAGGACAGCUAUAAUGUUAUAAAUAACCUUAGUCAAGUCACCUUCUUUCUUUGAGCCUCAAUAUUCAUCCAUGACAUGAGGUUGGCCUGGGUGACAUCUAAGACCCUCCUAUUCUAUUCUAAGCUGAACGAGCCUGUUGUGGGAAGGAAGCAAGUGGAGGGUCCCUGAGAAAUUGGGUUCCUGACUCUGAGGCCACCGAGGCACUGGCAGGCAAAACCCAUCAAUACUCUACAAAACAACUUGGCCAUGCUCCCUUCCCCACGCCAAAGUUCACCAUUGUGAUUCUUGCCAUUCCAAUUAGCAGGUGUACCAUUAUUUGCUGAAUACUUUAUUGACAUUGACUUCUUUCUAAAACCCAAAUACAUUUAUUUUUAAAGAAAAUUUUGUGUUGCUGCCAUUGCUACACGUGGUAAACCGGUGUCAUCUGCCAUAAAUAGAAGGUAACCAUGAAAACAAAACAAUGUUAAUAAAUUCUAGCUAGAUUUUGCUGCUUGCCAAAGUCUGAGCCUGGGGCUUGCUCUUUUUAUUGAAAAGGAAGAUUAGCAAGUGCUGGGGAGAUAAUAAUGGUUUUCUAGCACCAAAUGAGGCUUUCUUCACCUAUCUUAAAAGACCGAAAGAAAAUUGAAAAGGGGAUCACUCUUAAUAGUAGUCACUGUUUUUAAUGUGGUGUUACUAAAGUAUUUAUAAAAUAAUUUCUUAUUCCACCUAAAGGGAUUUCAGCCCCAGACUUGUGCUAAUGAGACCCACCACUGUGAUAGAAAAAAGCAUGGGGUUUGGAACCAGAUGGGUCUGGGUUCCAAUGGUGAUUCUGACCUUAAACCAGCUGAGUGCUUCAAGCAAUGUGCUUAAGCCCUCUGGGUCUCAGAGUGAUUCUUUGUAAAAUGAGGAUAAAAAUCCCUGAAAUGGUAGUCGAGGGAAUAGAAAGAAUGCACAAAAAACUGGGUUUGGAGGGGAAGGGAGAAAACCAGGAGACAUGACAGUAGAAAGGUCAGCAUAACUUGGAUGGGUUGAGAGUUGGGGAGUUGAAUCAGAUGAAUCAGGGCCAUCACCCAGCAGGGACUAGACAAGGAGAGCAGUAGUGUAAGUGUCUGUAGGACAGGAAGUGGUGAUGAAUUCAGAUAUGGCCAUAUGGAAUUUGAGGUUUUGACUGGACAUCAAAAUAGAAGUUAGAAUAUAAUCAUGAUUAGGAGAUUAAGAAAUUUGAGGUGAUGUGUCUGCCAGUGGUUGUCAUUACACUGAUGUGUCUGCCAGUGGUUGUCAUUACACUGAAAGUGUUCUCUGAACUGCAGUACCCACAGAAGAUGCCUUUGGUGGUUAAAUGAAAUAAUGCAUCUAAGGAACUUAGCACAGAGUUUCCAAAAAAGUGUUUAUCUUCAUCAUCAUCUCCUGGAUUUUCCAGCAUACCUCCAAUUUCAGGACAUUGUAUUCAUUUCUCCGAGGGCAAUCUU